UACAGAGGUCCCAAGCGUUGUUCGGAUUCAUUGGGCGUAAAGGGUGUGUAGGUGGCGCCGUAAGCCGGGUGUGAAAUUUCGGAGCUUAACUCCGAAACUGCAUUCGAUACUGCGGUGCUUGAGGACUGGAGAGGAGACUGGAAUUCAUGGUGUAGCAGUGAAAUGCGUAGAGAUCAUGAGGAAGACCAGUGGCGAAGGCGGGUCUCUGGACAGUUCCUGACACUGAGACACGAAGGCCAGGGGAGCAAACGGG
RNAcentral lists this ribosomal RNA (253 nucleotides) under uncultured bacterium. Its description in RNAcentral is "partial 16S ribosomal RNA". It matches the Rfam family "Bacterial small subunit ribosomal RNA", at positions 524 to 776 of the family's 1533-position model. The record is from RNAcentral.